This 312-nucleotide long non-coding RNA is filed under the name Capsella rubella. RNAcentral's name for it is "long non-coding RNA (CRUB_LNC002427)". Lineage: Eukaryota; Viridiplantae; Streptophyta; Magnoliopsida; Brassicales; Brassicaceae. The record is from RNAcentral.
AUUAUUUACUUCUUCUUUAAUGUCUAUUUUUUCCAUUUUUAUUUUUUUCAGUAUGAAAAAGUUAUAAUGUGUAAGACGUAAUAACUGUUGUAGAAAAUAUUUAAUAGAAAGUACUUCCAAAUUGCGACCAAAAAAAAAAAGUACUUCCAAACAAUAUAAUAGAAAAAAAUUAUUAAAAAAAAAAGAAGAGUAUGUGAGAUGGUUCUAAAUCGGCUACAUUGUUUAAAAAUCUCUUUGGUACUUGAAACUGGUCGAUAAAUAUGGUUUUUUGAAAAUCUAUUUGGUACUUAAAAAUCAUCAUAUACCCCUAAA